Long non-coding RNA from Bactrocera tryoni, 273 nucleotides. RefSeq lists it as uncharacterized. NCBI's taxonomy places the organism in Eukaryota, Metazoa, Arthropoda, Insecta, Diptera, Tephritidae. The transcript has 3 exons. The record is from RefSeq and is a predicted model, not a curated record.
GUAAAUAUCGUUAGAGAGGUGAAUAGCGAAAAUCAAAUAUAUAGUAUGUGUUAAUAUACGCGCGUGUGAUGUCGAAAACUAUAAGGUUUUUUUUGUCUGUUUUAUUAAUAUUAAGUUAAAAAUUAAAAUAAGUGUAGUGUAAAGUGAAAUGCAGAAAAAAUACAAAGUAUGCAGUAUGAGCUGACGAAAAAAUUUGGAAUGCAGAUAAUGAUACCACCAGAAAUCGAACAGAUAUGCGAAUUUGCUGACUAAAACUUUUUGAAUGAAAACGGG